GAUGAACGCUAACGGCAGGCCUAACACAUGCAAGUCGAGGGGCAGCACAGAAACAGCAAUGUUUUGGUGGCGACCGGCGGACGGGUGCGUAACGCGUAUGCAACCUACCUUUAACAGGGGGACAACGGAGAGAAAUUUCCACUAAUACCCCAUAACAUCGAUCAAGGCAUCUUGAUUGGUUGAAAACUCCGGUGGUUAAAGAUGGGCAUGCGUUGUAUUAGGUAGUUGGUGAGGUAAUGGCUCACCAAGCCUACGAUACAUAGGGGGACUGAGAGGUUAGCCCCCCACACUGGUACUGAGACACGGACCAGACUCCUACGGGAGGCAGCAGUGAGGAAUAUUGGUCAAUGGGGGCAACCCUGAACCAGCCAUGCCGCGUGCAGGAAGACGGCUCUAUGAGUUGUAAACUGCUUUUAAACAGGGAUAAAGCACAGUAUGCAUACUGUGUUGAAGGUACCGUAAGAAUAAGCACCGGCUAACUACGUGCCAGCCGCCGCAGUAA
Molecule: ribosomal RNA, 502 nt
Filed under: uncultured bacterium
Lineage: Bacteria
Description: partial 16S ribosomal RNA
Rfam family: Bacterial small subunit ribosomal RNA
Source: RNAcentral